GACGAACGCUGGCGGCGUGCUUAACACAUGCAAGUCGAACGGAAAGGCCCUGCUUGCAGGGUACUCGAGUGGCGAACGGGUGAGUAACACGUGGGUGAUCUGCCCUGCACUUCGGGAUAAGCCUGGGAAACUGGGUCUAAUACCGGCUAGGAGCCAUUUUUAGUGUGAUGGUUGGAAAGUUUUUUCGGUGUAGGAUGAGCUCGCGGCCUAUCAGCUUGUUGGUGGGGUAAUGGCCUACCAAGGCGGCGACGGGUAGCCGGCCUGAGAGGGUGGACGGCCACAUUGGGACUGAGAGACGGCCCAGACUCCUACGGGAGGCAGCAGUGGGGAAGAUUGCACGAGGGGCGCAAGCCUGAUGCAGCGACGCCGCGGGGGGGAUGACGGCCUUCGGGUUGUAAACUCCUUUCGCUAGGGACGAAGCUUUUUGUGACGGUACCUAGAUAAGAAGCACCGGCUAACUACGUG
Molecule: ribosomal RNA, 465 nt
Filed under: uncultured bacterium
Lineage: Bacteria
Description: partial 16S ribosomal RNA
Rfam family: Bacterial small subunit ribosomal RNA
Source: RNAcentral